GUUUCCCUUCCUUAAUUUCAUCCUUAUUAGUGCUCCUAGAUAAUGAUCUCUAUGCAGAGCCGUAGUAGGGAUGCCAUAUACUUCCUGUUCCAUCAUUUUGCAACUAUUUUUUCUGUGUCUGUUGCCCCCCCGGCGGAUUAUAAAUUCUUUGAGGUCAGGGUCAGAUGUUACUGAUUUCCGGAUCCUCAGUGUCCCCCCAGGCAAUGCUUUGUGAAUGAAUGAAUGAAUGAAUGAAUGGUGGUAUGGAUUCACUCAUCUCAGGUGUCUGGGAUCGGACAGUCAGUGUUGAUGUGACUCUGGAGAGCGGUGUGCUAAUCAGGGAGGCCUUCUUGUAUCCGACACGUUCUUAUUGGUCUUCUGCAGUGAUGAGGAAAAGUCAACCAGCUGGGUGCACCCUGGCACGGAAUACCCCAUCCAGAGUGGACACUCCUCCAGCCCAGGAUUGCCCAAGGGCUGGGAGAUGGAUUCUACCCAGGAAGGAGCUGUGUAUUUCAUUAAGUGAGUAAGAUGGGGUUUCUUUCUGGUCUGGCUGUUGGGCCUACUGUUGUCGUUGUCACUGAUGGCUGCUUGGGAGGGAAGGUGCUUAAAAGGUGUGCUGGGGCCCUGAAGACCUAGAGCGGGUUGGGGGGGUGGUGUUCUGUGAAUGAAAGGAGGCCUCUAGGCUUCUGAGCUACUGCGGCAGAGAAAGCUGGGUGUGUGUUUCUGUUGGUACAGAAGAGCUAGUGUCGGUCAUGGGAAGUUUUCUGGCUUGGAGUGGGUGAGGGGAGUGUUGGGCUGGG
Molecule: long non-coding RNA, 779 nt
Filed under: Mustela putorius furo (domestic ferret)
Lineage: Eukaryota; Metazoa; Chordata; Mammalia; Carnivora; Mustelidae
Description: lncRNA (ENSMPUG00000029002.1)
Source: RNAcentral